Molecule: microRNA precursor, 137 nt
Filed under: Hordeum vulgare
Lineage: Eukaryota; Viridiplantae; Streptophyta; Magnoliopsida; Poales; Poaceae
Description: microRNA MIR1122
Rfam family: MIR1120/MIR1122 microRNA precursor family
Source: RNAcentral
UAUUUACUCCCUCCGUCCCAAAUUUUUUUGUUUUAGAUUUGUGUAGAUAUGAAUGUAUCUAGUCAUGUUUUAGUAUUUAGAUACAUUCAUUUCUAGACAAACUUAAGACAAGAAUUUUAGGACGGAGGGAGUAUUAG